AAGAAAAAAAAAAACAAAAAAGGAACAAACUGAGAGUGUGUUUUUGCUGAGCUGAAAAACCUCCAGCCCGCUUCUGAGUUGGAGGGAAAUGCUGCCCAUGCUGUCAGAUGUGAGCACUGAAGGAGCUGUGAGAUUUGCUGUGGGACUGAACAGAAGUUUAGGAGAAGAGGCUGGGUUUGUAUGGGCGCUUUCUUGCCUUGCACUUUUCUAGGUCUCUCACUGUCAGUGUAGCCAUCAGCAGUGCAACAGCAUCACUGCAGCACGAGUCAUUCACAUCAGAGCCCAGCAGCAGGCAAAGAAAAACCUCCUGCAAAACAGCAGGUGGGAAUGGCUCCAAAUGUGGCAGGUUCACAGGUGCCCAUAGCACGGCUGCACUCAUGAGCACGUGUGCAGAUAAAACGUGCCAGCAUGAAGGCUCCCUGCACCAAAGCGUGCCCUGGCUGUGUGAACCCCAGGAUGCAAAGCCUGCCUUCCCCCAGGCACCACAAGGACGCUUUGCGCAGCCUGCUUAGCAUUCAUAUGGCACAUGGGCACCAGCAAGCUGAAACCCCAACUUUUAAGCCCACAGCUGUCUCUUUUUGAGGAGGGAAGGAGAGGGGAGGAGGGGGAGGGCGCUGGGUUUUGCCAAGGUUAGAAUUCAGCGUGGGACCAUGCUGUGAGCGGAAGCAAGGCUUGGCUUGGGAGACAACAAACCAGCAAGAAAAAGAGGCGUUCACAUUGCAACCUGGGGCUGCUCGGGAGCCAGCUGUGCCAGCGAUACAUCCAAGCAGCAGUUCCAGCUCUACUCCAGCAAAACCAGUGCAAGAAGAGCCCAGGUGGCAUGCACCUGCUUGCCGAGGAUGCUCGGCCACCCCCUGCCACUUAUUGCUCACAUUUUUCCCUGUCCUGCCUUGUCGUGAUGGGCCUCUGUCACUUUCUGAUGAGGUGCAGAAGUGGAGGCAAAAUCAAAUGCAGCAGCUCCGUGUGACGGAGGGCUCCCUGCAGGGGUGAGCCCAGCACGUGCUCUGCUGUGCUCCCAGGUGCCUUUUUGUGUUACCAAGAAUAAUAAAAGGAAUCCCUGUAGUUAUUUCUGUACCA
RNAcentral lists this long non-coding RNA (1077 nucleotides) under Anas platyrhynchos platyrhynchos (common mallard). RNAcentral describes it as "lncRNA (ENSAPLG00000024862.1)". Lineage: Eukaryota; Metazoa; Chordata; Aves; Anseriformes; Anatidae. The record is from RNAcentral.